Stegodyphus mimosarum is the source of this 71-nucleotide non-coding RNA. NCBI's taxonomy places the organism in Eukaryota, Metazoa, Arthropoda, Arachnida, Araneae, Eresidae. The record is from Rfam.
GUCUUCGUGGUGUAACGGUAGAACACUCGGCGCGUAUUCGAGAGGUCCGGGUUCGAGUCCUGGCGUAGGCA